AGUUGUUACUGUCUUAAGCAUGCAUAGGAGUUUCACAUGGCUAGAUGCAAUGAACCUGGAGAUUUUCCCAAGAAUGAGCCUUUCAAUCAUAGAGAGACUGAAAGACUGAGACUGCAUUUAUUUCAGAAAGUGAUUGGUGCAGAGGUAUGAUGAUAUAUUUUCAGUGUGUCUAUCAAGAAGGUGGUGUUGAAAUAUCUGUGGCAAUAUUGGCAAGGAGUCAGUCUCUUGCUAUUUCACAAUGGCCUUAAUCCUAGUGAUGGCAAUUUCUUCUUGCAACAAAGAAAGACAGUGACACCAAAGGAGAAAUAUUCAAAGUGGGAUGAAAGGGGUUGACAUUAGAAAAGACUUCAUGGUGAUUGGAAAAAAAUGGAAAAAGAUUUUGAAAGCACUCCAUCACAGGGCACACUACAAUCACAAACUUCAUGCCUUACACAGUUUCCUUUCCUGUCAUACUAACUGUGCUUCUUCAACAUCUCCUGGGAACCA
Molecule: long non-coding RNA, 486 nt
Filed under: Homo sapiens (human)
Lineage: Eukaryota; Metazoa; Chordata; Mammalia; Primates; Hominidae
Description: HSALNT0392700
Source: RNAcentral